RNAcentral lists this long non-coding RNA (1343 nucleotides) under Olea europaea subsp. europaea. The record is from RNAcentral. Lineage: Eukaryota; Viridiplantae; Streptophyta; Magnoliopsida; Lamiales; Oleaceae.
UGAAGAUCAAGCACCUCCCAAAUACAACACACCAGAUCCCAAUACCAACACAGCUACAGAACCACAAACACCAGAAUUAACAGAAGCUUAUAUUGCGUGGCGCAAGUCCGAUAGGCUUCUUCAAGGGUGGAUCAUUCGGACACUCUUAGAAGAAGCCCUUGAACUUGUUAUAGGUCUCGAUACAGCAUACUCAGUCUGGGAAGCACUCAAGAAUGAGUAUGCACAGGACUCUCAAGAAAGAGAAUUCACACUCCGGCAGCAGGUCACUUAUCUUCGUAAGGAAGAAGAUAAAACCCUUGGGGAGCACAUCCGCACCUUCAAAAGCUUAUGCGAUAGCCUUGCAGCCAUUGGGAAACCAGUCUCAGACAAGGAGAAAGUAUUUUAUCUUCUCAUAAGCCUUGGACCUCAAUAUGAGCCCUUCACCACAACUAUGUUAAAACCACCAAGACCUACAUAUUUGGAGCUCGUGUCACAAUUACAAAGCUUUGAUCAAAGGCGUAACUGGUUCUCAGGCCAUAGUAAUGUCACUGCUCCACAAAUCACUCCACAAUUAACCUUCUAUGGUCAACAACAGCAGUCUCAGCAACUUUCCAGAAAUCAUGGGUCACAAUCUUUUACCUCUACAGGAAGAGGUUUUCAGGCACAACAAUCUAGAGACUCCAACAAAAAUCAUUCAGACAACUCUACUCUUAACACUAGACAACGACGUCCUCCACCCUCAGGCGAACGCCGCAUGACCCCAGCAGAAAGAAAUUAUGUACAGAGAAGAAUGUUGCCAAUAUUGUGGCACUCAAGGACACAUAGCAAAGAUCUGCUGGUGGUUGCCAAAGAAGACUACUCAACAAGACAUUCCUCAAGCACUUGCUGCACUCACACUAGACAACACCAUUACAGAUACUGAAUGGACGUCUGACACUGGUGCAUCAAACCAUAUGACAGGUAAGUCAGCCAUGCUAACUAAUCUACGCAGAUACCACGGCUCAGAUUCAGUUCUUAUAGAGGAUGGAUCAUCCUUGAAAAUUCUUGGCAUAGGCGACACAUGUAUAAAGCAAAAAAAAAAUGCUACUCUUUCUCUUAAUAACGUUUUGCUUGUUCCUGAUCUUACUAAGAAUUUACUCUCUGUUAGCCAGUUAACUAAACAGUUUUCAGUAAAUUGUGAAUUUUCUAAUGAUGAUUUUUGUGUUAAGGAUCAAGCAACAGGGCAACCAGUGACAACAGGGAGUCACAAGGGUGAUCUCUAUGUCCUCUCCAGUUUGCCGAAAUUACAUUUUUCUUACAGACAAAAAUUCGGCACAGCAGACUUAUGGCAUCAACGUUUAGGACAUCCUCAUGCUUCCGCUCUA